This is a long non-coding RNA of Conger conger (European conger), 389 nucleotides long. RefSeq lists it as uncharacterized. The record is from RefSeq and is a predicted model, not a curated record. The transcript has 3 exons. NCBI's taxonomy places the organism in Eukaryota, Metazoa, Chordata, Actinopteri, Anguilliformes, Congridae.
CCCCAGAAAAGCCUCAGUCAAACAUGUCAGCCUCCGUGAACUGGCUUCAUGCGCCAUAGGAGUCCAUGAUCCACUCCACCGUUGGCUUGGCUGUAUGCUUUGGGUCAUUGCCAUGCUGAAAGGUGAACCGUGGCCCCAGUCUGAGGUUGCGUGCACUCUGGAGCAGGUUUUCAUCAAAAAUCUCUGUACUUGGCUACAUUCAUACUUCUGACCAGACUCCCUGUCCCUGAAGCUAAGAAGCAUGAUGCUGCCACCACCAUGCUUCACCAUAGGGAUGCCAUUAGCCAGGUGGACUCCAAUCAAGUUCAUGACACAUCUCAAGGAUAAUUACAGGAUGCCCAUGACCACAAUUAUGAAUGUCUGGAUACUUAGUAUUCAGUGAAUAAUCA